GCAUUGCAUCGCCACCGCUCAGUCAUUACUCCUUCUCUUCUUUUUCUUGCUGGUAGGCACAACCAAAUUACAUAGUUGCAAUUAAAAAAAGUUCAGAUGGGGGAAAGGCCGCAACCUACUUUUAAAUGGUGCUGCUUGCACUAGAUUAAGUGACCGUCACUUAGCCAACAACUGGAACUGCAGAUUCUGCCACUAGUAGGGGAAUUUGCUCGAGCACUUUGCUCGACAGGUACGCGGCGGCAGUUGGCCGGCGGUGGGGAAGGAGUCUGCGUAGUGGCGCACAAACUUUGGGGAGGGGAGGUGCUGUGGCAUGAUCCCUGCAGUACAGCGAGGUGUGGCUCAGCGGCAGGGCCUCUCGGGGGAGCUCGGGGAAGAGGGGAAGCGCGGGCGACG
RNAcentral lists this long non-coding RNA (393 nucleotides) under Triticum aestivum (bread wheat). RNAcentral describes it as "long non-coding RNA (TAES_LNC018074)". The record is from RNAcentral. Lineage: Eukaryota; Viridiplantae; Streptophyta; Magnoliopsida; Poales; Poaceae.